UGCAUCCAGUCCCUGCAGGCCUGCGGGCUUGGCCUUUCCGGCAAGCGCUGGCUGCAGUUCCGGGGAGGGCCACUAGGGGGAACCCGGCGGCCUCCAAGAAGCAGGACUUCCGGGGCGGGGCCUCGCAGGCCCCAGGCUCUGCAAAGCAGCGAGCCCGCGAUACAGUCCAGCGCUCUUUGUGCGAGGGCUCUGGCUGCCUCUGCCCAAACCCGGGAAGGAAGCGCAUCGCGGCAGACCGGGGGCUUAACAAACACAAAGCGGCAAAGGAAGUCCAACACGAGGUGAGGCCGUGGGGCCUGGCACCCGAUGGAGGAGGGUCUCUCCCUGAAGCCCAGGCUGGUCUUGAACUUAACGGUUAUACUCCUGCCUCAGCCUCCUGGGUGCUGGGAUCACAGGAACAGAAAUGAGCCGUCGCCUAUUCUGAAAAAAUAACCGGUCCUCAGCCAGAGACUUGACCAGGAAUUUCAGUUCCCAGGUGCCUCACCGACAGGAUGAGCUGGGAACAAGAGGCAGAAGGCAACAGCAUCUCUACUGGGGGUCUGUCCUGUCCCCGUGGGGACCAGGUCACCCCCUGUGGCUGUCUACAUGGAGAUUUAAGUAAAAUCUGCUGCAAGCACUUGAA
Long non-coding RNA from Cavia porcellus (domestic guinea pig), 622 nucleotides. RefSeq lists it as uncharacterized. Lineage: Eukaryota; Metazoa; Chordata; Mammalia; Rodentia; Caviidae. The transcript has 4 exons. The record is from RefSeq and is a predicted model, not a curated record.